CUAGCCAUAACCCAUUAAGAAAAUUGCCCAAAUAAUGAGAGUCGAAAAAGUUAGGGACUUGGGCAGCGUGUGCCACAAACUCACCAAUAUAAUUGACAAUGGAUGUCAUCUGUUGAACAGCAACAAAAUGGUCAUAGGGAUUAUUUGUAAUUUAACCACCAUAGCAUUGGAGAAGCUUAGCAGUUAACUAUUCCCAAGUUAUACGAUAGUUGCGCUGAUAAAGCCAACGAAGCCAGUGGAGGGGAGGACCCUCCAUAGUAACCUGAGUAAAAGAAACUUUGAGAUUUGGGCAUCUAGCAUUUCGAAAUAUUGCUUGACUUUGGCAAUCCAACCAAUUGGGUAAGUUCCAUCGAAGAAUGGCAUUUUCGCUUUCUUUGCUAUAAGAGGAGAAUCGUCAAAGAGGAGAGCUCAGGCAUUGGUGGAAGCCGAAGAUACAUCACCCAUGGAUGCUUACUGUAAGUGGGAUUGGACGUGUCACCUUAGUGCUGAAUAGGUUUGAUAAUUUCUAGUUAAGUAAAACAUUGAUCUUGUUCUACCCAAAGGGUAAAGCAAGCCUCCUGAUCAAUUCAAGAAUCCAUUCGCGUUUUGGUCAUGAGCUAAAAUGGCAGGUCAAACCAAUUUGGUAGAUUAAUGAACUAAAAUGAGACCAAAAAUACAUAACAUAGGUGGAAUUGAUUUCUAUAGUAAUAUUUCAAAGGAACAAUACAGCAACUUCUCAAAAGUUCCAAAGACAAUUCCACAAUGACAACAGUAAAAGAAAAUAGAAGAAAUGGCACAUAAAGCCUCCAAAGAUGUUACGCCCGAACAAAAAAGG
Molecule: unclassified non-coding RNA, 814 nt
Filed under: Hevea brasiliensis (rubber tree)
Lineage: Eukaryota; Viridiplantae; Streptophyta; Magnoliopsida; Malpighiales; Euphorbiaceae
Source: RNAcentral